Molecule: ribosomal RNA, 253 nt
Filed under: uncultured bacterium
Lineage: Bacteria
Description: partial 16S ribosomal RNA
Rfam family: Bacterial small subunit ribosomal RNA
Source: RNAcentral
UACGUAGGCAGCAAGCGUUGUUCGGAGUUACUGGGCGUAAAGGGUGUGUAGGCGGUUGUUUAAGUUUGGUGUGAAAUCUCCCGGCUCAACUGGGAGGGUGCGCCGAAUACUGAAUGACUAGAGUGCGGGAGAGGAAAGUGGAAUUCCUGGUGUAGCGGUGAAAUGCGUAGAUAUCAGGAGGAACACCGGUGGUGUAGACGGCUUUCUGGACCGUAACUGACGCUGAGACACGAAAGCCAGGGGAGCGAACGGG